RNAcentral lists this unclassified non-coding RNA (655 nucleotides) under Hevea brasiliensis (rubber tree). Lineage: Eukaryota; Viridiplantae; Streptophyta; Magnoliopsida; Malpighiales; Euphorbiaceae. The record is from RNAcentral.
AUUUUACAUCGCCUUCAUCGGAUCUCGUUGUCUUCCUUUUAUUAAUGGCUCUCUCAUUAGAAGACUUCCUUGUUCGUGCCCGAGUACUAAAGCUGUACCGACAUGCUCUGAGAAUCUCAAGGAGAGCACCUCCUCAUGCUAAAGCUGAUUUGAGGCAGAUUAUAAGACAAGAGAUGGAGAAUAAUAGGAAUUGCAAUGACAAGCAGAGAAUUCGGUUCUUGAUUAGUGAUGGAAUUGAAAGAGUGAAACGUUUAGAUGAGACGCUUGAUAUGCAAGGCCAUUGAUUUAACUGUAAUGUGUAUAUGGUAUGCCUUACAUCUUGCAACAUCAACCCUGUUGUGACCUAUCGGAUUAAUCAGAGACGUGCUGCAAACAUAGGUGGUUCAUGCGCUUUAGCCAUCUCUGCUUGGUUUAUACUGUUAUCGCCUCAGAAGUUAUUGUUUUUUUCCAACUUACCUCCAAUUAAGCCAGGAUCUUCACUGAUUCUCGUGUAAACAUGUGAUUUUGAAGAUCUCCCUUGAUCCUCUUGUAAAGAUACUGAGAUUGUACUGCUCCUAGUCUCCAACAGCUAGUAGAACUAGAAAACAAUUCUAAGAUAUGCAAGUCUCAAGGUUCAGAGCUAUUUAAAUUUCUUGUCUACAUAGUGUUUGUGGAG